Molecule: transfer RNA, 72 nt
Filed under: Cordylochernes scorpioides
Lineage: Eukaryota; Metazoa; Arthropoda; Arachnida; Pseudoscorpiones; Chernetidae
Description: tRNA-Thr
Rfam family: tRNA
About the family: Transfer RNA (tRNA) molecules are approximately 80 nucleotides in length. Their secondary structure includes four short double-helical elements and three loops (D, anti-codon, and T loops).
Source: RNAcentral
UCCAGGGUAGCGAGUGGACAAGGCACCUGCCCGGUAAGCAGAAGGGUGUGGUUUCGAUUCCCGCCCCUGGAC